Molecule: ribosomal RNA, 253 nt
Filed under: uncultured bacterium
Lineage: Bacteria
Description: partial 16S ribosomal RNA
Rfam family: Bacterial small subunit ribosomal RNA
Source: RNAcentral
UACGAAGGGGGCUAGCGUUGCUCGGAAUCACUGGGCGUAAAGCGCACGUAGGCGGAUCUUUAAGUCAGGGGUGAAAUCCUGGAGCUCAACUCCAGAACUGCCUUUGAUACUGGAGAUCUCGAGUCCGGAAGAGGUGAGUGGAACUCCGAGUGUAGAGGUGAAAUUCGUAGAUAUUCGCAAGAACACCAGUGGCGAAGGCGGCUGACUGGUCCGGUUCUGACGCUGAGGCGCGAAAGCGUGGGGAGCAAACAGG